UAUUUUUCAGAGCACCGUAAUAUUCCAUUACAUUAAUGUGCCAUGAUGUUUUUUGCCAUCUGCUAAUAUUUGAUUUCAUAGGUUGUGUGUUGCUUUUUGGCUAUUCCAAGUAACUUUUUUUUUAAUGGAUGGUUAGGCAAUGAAGUCAACAAUCGUUUUUUAAGCACCUGCUGUGUUCCAGGGACUGUGCUUAGCACUAGGGUUACAAAAAGAGGCAAAAGACAGUCCUUGCCUUCCAGGAGCUCACAGUCCAAUGGGGGAGACAAUAAGCAAAGAAUCAUGUACAACACGCCAUAUGCAAGUUCUAGCCUCUGGGAUUAAGCAAAAUGGCCUCUCUUCCAUAUGACAACCUUCAAAUACUUGCAGACCGCUGUCAUGUCUCUGCUAAAAACUUCUCUUCUCCAGCCUAACCAUUUCCAGAUCCUUCGACUGAUCCUUAUACAUGGCCUAUAAUUCAGUUAUCACACCAUCCUGGUUGCCCCUACAAGUCACAUUUCAGUUUGUCUUGGACCUUCCUAAAAUGUGCCCCACCAAUGAUGCCCAUUUCCCCAUAGUCCUGGAAAUGAUUACGUGACAUGGGAGACUCUGGCAAAGGAUCGCCCAGCAUGGUGUAACUGCAUCAAAGAAGGUCCUGUGCAGUAUGAGCAAAGCAGAAUUGAAAUAGCUCAAAAGAAGUGCGAGAUGCAUGAAUUUAGAGAACCCACCCCAAAUAUUCACAUGGACUAUUUGUUCCUGACCUGUUGGUAGGCUUCUGAGCUCGU
Vombatus ursinus (common wombat) is the source of this 761-nucleotide long non-coding RNA. RefSeq lists it as uncharacterized. The transcript has 3 exons. The record is from RefSeq and is a predicted model, not a curated record. NCBI's taxonomy places the organism in Eukaryota, Metazoa, Chordata, Mammalia, Diprotodontia, Vombatidae.